Molecule: ribosomal RNA, 254 nt
Filed under: uncultured bacterium
Lineage: Bacteria
Description: partial 16S ribosomal RNA
Rfam family: Bacterial small subunit ribosomal RNA
Source: RNAcentral
UACGUAGGGUGCGAGCGUUGUCCGGAAUUACUGGGCGUAAAGAGCUCGUAGGUGGUUUGUCGCGUUGUUCGUGAAAACUCACAGCUCAACUGUGGGCGUGCGGGCGAUACGGGCAGACUGGAGUACUGCAGGGGAGACUGGAAUCCUGGUGUUAGCGGUGGAAUGCGCAGAUAUCAGGAGGAACACCGGUGGCGAAGGCGGGUCUCUGGGCAGUAACUGACGCUGGAGGAGCGAAAGCGUGGGGAGCGAACAGG